This 76-nucleotide transfer RNA is filed under the name Methanobrevibacter sp. Its description in RNAcentral is "tRNA-Asn". It matches the Rfam family "tRNA". Rfam says of the family: Transfer RNA (tRNA) molecules are approximately 80 nucleotides in length. Their secondary structure includes four short double-helical elements and three loops (D, anti-codon, and T loops). The record is from RNAcentral. Lineage: Archaea; Methanobacteriati; Methanobacteriota; Methanobacteria; Methanobacteriales; Methanobacteriaceae.
GCCUGAUUGGCUCAGUUGGCAGAGCAACCGGCUGUUAACCGGUGGGUCGUAGGUUCAAGUCCUACAUCGGGCGCCA